Non-coding RNA from Podarcis lilfordi (Lilford's wall lizard), 341 nucleotides. The record is from the annotation of a GenBank genome assembly. Lineage: Eukaryota; Metazoa; Chordata; Lepidosauria; Squamata; Lacertidae.
GCUCAGAUAUAUAACUAAUGCUUAACCUUGACUUGUUGCCUUAACAAUGAGUAUAAUUCCAACUGUAUAGUGAAGCUCUCCUUUCAUCUGCCUGGCUAAAUGCUGGUCUCCUAAGGGCAGCCCCCUCAUCCAGGUGUGUUCCAGGUGUGUGUACUGAACCGUCAGUAAAUGACACUGUCAAAGUUGGAGUUAACUCUUUAUUAGCAAAAACACAAUCUUCACAUAACUUGGCUGAGUGUCAGGCCUAAUGAGCACAGCAGCAUAUCCCCAGUAGGUCUGGCCCCAUGAAUCAGUUGCUGAAACUGGAAGUCCCCAUCUCCUCACGGCUGUCUUAAGUUCCC